RNAcentral lists this ribosomal RNA (253 nucleotides) under uncultured bacterium. RNAcentral's name for it is "partial 16S ribosomal RNA". It matches the Rfam family "Bacterial small subunit ribosomal RNA", at positions 524 to 776 of the family's 1533-position model. The record is from RNAcentral.
GACAGAGGCCUCGAGCGUUAGGCGGAAUCACUGGGCUUAAAGCGUGUGUAGGCGGGCCCGUAAGUGUCUUGUGAAAUCCCACGGCUCAACCGUGGAACUGCUGGGCAUACUGCGGGUCUUGGGCCAACUAGGGGCAACCGGAACAAACGGUGGAGCGGUGAAAUGCGUAGAUAUCGUUUGGAACGCCAAUGGUGAAAACAGGUUGCUGGGAGUGUGCUGACGCUGAGACACGAAAGCCAGGGGAGCGAACGGG